This 621-nucleotide ribosomal RNA is filed under the name uncultured bacterium. Its description in RNAcentral is "bacterial SSU rRNA". The stretch from base 1 to 533 matches the Rfam family "Bacterial small subunit ribosomal RNA", at positions 338 to 873 of the family's 1533-position model. The record is from RNAcentral.
CCUACGGGAGGCAGCAGUAGGGAAUAUUGGGCAAUGGAGGCAACUCUGACCCAGCCAUGCCGCGUGCAGGAUGAAGGCGUUAUGCGUUGUAAACUGCUUUUAUAUAGGAAGAAAGAGUUCUUGCGAGAACAGUUGACGGUACUAUAUGAAUAAGCACCGGCUAACUCCGUGCCAGCAGCCGCGGUAAUACGGAGGGUGCAAGCGUUGUCCGGAUUUAUUGGGUUUAAAGGGUGCGUAGGCGGUUUAUUAAGUCAGUGGUGAAAGACGGUCGCUCAACGAUUGCAGUGCCAUUGAUACUGGUAGACUUGAGUGAGAUUGAGGUAGCUGGAAUGGAUAGUGUAGCGGUGAAAUGCAUAGAUAUUAUCCAGAACACCAAUUGCGUAGGCAAGUUACUAAGUCUCAACUGACGCUGAGGCACGAAAGUGUGGGGUAUCAAACAGGAUUAGAUACCCUGGUAGUCCACACUGUAAACGAUGAUAACUAACUNUUGGCUUUCGGGUCAGUGGUACAGAGAAAUCGUUAAGUUAUCCCACGNGGAGGUACGCCGGCGACGGUAGUAACGUUAAAGGUAAGUUAGUACGGCGUGAGACGUUAGCCGACGGACGACGACGAGGGAGGAGG